UUAAAUAUUUGUUUUAUACUCAGACUGCAAUAUUACAGAGUUUCAGGUCCUCUAGCAGGCACUGACCAGCAGGUGCCGGCGGUCCGAGGACGGGCCUGCUAAAGCAACAAGUUUGUAUAAGCAAGGGUGGAGUAUCUGUCAGCGAUGGGCGAACCCACCGCUGAAGAAAGCUCUCUAAUGAUCCUUCCGCAGGUUCACCUACGGAAA
Molecule: unclassified non-coding RNA, 207 nt
Filed under: uncultured fungus
Lineage: Eukaryota; Fungi
Description: sequence contains ITS1
Source: RNAcentral